Long non-coding RNA from Quercus lobata, 998 nucleotides. RefSeq lists it as uncharacterized. The record is from RefSeq and is a predicted model, not a curated record. Lineage: Eukaryota; Viridiplantae; Streptophyta; Magnoliopsida; Fagales; Fagaceae. The transcript is spliced from 3 exons.
UCAACAGGAUACACAACGAAGUUUAACAAAAACAUGACAAAACACAAGACAACCUUCACAGGCACAGUCAGGGCGUUUCUAUACAAACUCUCACCUCUUUCAACUUCUCAAGGCCAACGUUGAUGUGUCAACUCCAGCCCACCAAGCAGAAAGAGUCAAUUCCCAACAUUCUCAGUCUCUGUCUUUCCAAAACUUGUCAGGGCCUUUUGCUGUGGAGGAUGAUUGGUCUGCGUAAAGAGAGAUAGAUGGUCUAUACAUUCUGCAGAAACUAAAACUUUACUUACCCCACUGCAUCAUCAAUUGUCACUGCACAAACGCCUGCUGUGUUUGCUGUCAACAACUCAUCCUUAGUCUUUGGCAUUGUAGAUUAGGACACCCUUCUUUUUCUAGAAUAGGCCAUUAGAGCAUCUUCUACCACUUGCUCAUGAUUCCAAUAAUGAAAAUUCUCACUGUACAUUUUGUCCUUUAGCGAACAGAAAAGGUUACCUUCUCCUAAUGCAAUUCAUGUUUCAGCUAUUCUUUUGCAUUGGUCCAUUAUGAUAUUUGGGGUUCUUUCUCUACUGCCAUGUUGAUGGUUUUAAAUACUUAUUAAUUAUUGUUGAUGAUUGUACCCAUGCUAAUUGGUCUAUUUAAUGGAGCAUUUGGGGCUUUGGGAUGGGUUAAAAUGAAUUUUCCUUCUGCCCCUCCAAAACCUACUCCUAAAAAGUUACUGGCUUUUCAGCCCUUGCGUGCUAGCGUUUUCUCUUACUAGUAAAGGGGCGGCUAGUUGUAGUGCGCAGUGUACUAGUAAAAUAGGAAAAGCGGAUUGAGAUAACCAAUAACAGAUGGAGGUUGAGAAUAGAACAUGUUCAGUGCCUUGCCCUUGUCUCCUUCGCCGGAGACUGCAAAUGAUGGGAAUCCUAUCAAUUAAGAAGAGGCAUGGGCAUCGCCUCUCGAUCCCCCCACCCCUUCUUUCUUUUUUACAAAAAUUCUGGUUGGUUUAGCAUUAUGUAAAAUUU